GGUCCUCGCUUUUGUGUGCUACCUCUGAUGGGAUGCUGUGGAACUUAUCUGAGUGUACCCCAGAAGGAGAGUGGGUCGUAGAUAACAUCUGGCAGAAAAAAUCAAGAAACCCUAAAAGUCGAACUCCGGGGACAGAUUCGUCCCCAGGCUUAUUCUGCAUGGAUAGCUGGGUAGAACCCACACAUUUAAAGGCACGGCAGUGUAAAAAGGUGAGCUUGGAGGGAGGCAGUUCCAAAUCUGACGCAGCAGCCCUUGCUGCUUCUGUCAUUGAAAGGCCUCCCUGAGAACUCAUGCUGUUCUCCUCCUCUCCGAGAUUCACUUGGGCUCUGUCACGGCCCUCCAUGUGCUGCCCGGAUUGCUGGUGACUGCUUCAGAGGACAGAGAUGUUAAGCUGUGGGAGAGACCCAGUAUGCAGCUGGUAAGUGUGGGUCUGUGUGUGUGUACGUGUGUGCACAAGCUAAGAAGGGACUAGUGCAAGAAAACGAAUGUAGGAUAAGGUGUGAAAAAGAGAUGAAAGUUGUUUUCUUCACUCUCUCUUGGGGUGGCCUAAGGUAUUUAUUUGAGAGAAAGGUAAUAAGGAGACCGCAGGCUGAUAGCCUCACCUCCCCCAUUUCUGUUCCUGCCUCAGCUCGGCUUGUUCCGAUGUGAAGGGCCGGUGAGCUGUCUGGAACCUUGGAUGGAGCCCAGCUCUCCCCUGCAGCUUGCUGUGGGAGAUGCACAAGGAAACUUGUAUUUUCUAUCUUGGGAAUGAAGAUGAAGAAUCAGGACAAAGAUGGUGUCACCGGAUGAUGGUCACCUGAAGACACCAGUGUCUAUAUUCUUAAUAAGGUUAUAAAAUAAAGUGUUGGAAGAUC
RNAcentral lists this long non-coding RNA (854 nucleotides) under Rattus norvegicus (Norway rat). RNAcentral describes it as "long non-coding RNA NONRATT010822". The record is from RNAcentral. Lineage: Eukaryota; Metazoa; Chordata; Mammalia; Rodentia; Muridae.